AUACGUAGGGGGCGAGCGUUGUCCGGAAUGAUUGGGCGUAAAGGGCGCGUAGGCGGCCCGGUAAGUCUGGAGUGAAAGUCCUGUUUUUAAGAUGGGAAUUGCUUUGGAUACUGUCGGGCUUGAGUGCAGGAGAGGUAAGUGGAAUUCCCAGUGUAGCGGUGAAAUGCGUAGAGAUUGGGAGGAACACCAGUGGCGAAGGCGACUUACUGGAAUGUAACUGACGAUGAGGCGCGAAAGUGUUGGGAGCAAACAGGAUUAGAUACCCUGGUAGUACACACUGUAAACGAUGAAUGCUAGGUGUAGGGGGUAUCGACCCCUUCUGUGCCGCAGUCAACACAAUAGGCAUGACGCCUGGGGAGUACGGCCGCAAGGUUGAACCUCAAAUGAAUUGACGGGG
RNAcentral lists this ribosomal RNA (397 nucleotides) under uncultured bacterium. Its description in RNAcentral is "partial 16S ribosomal RNA". It matches the Rfam family "Bacterial small subunit ribosomal RNA", at positions 523 to 918 of the family's 1533-position model. The record is from RNAcentral.